CGGCGAGCGAACGGGGAGCAGCCCAGAGCCUGAAUCAGUGUGUGUGUUAGUGGAAGCGUCUGGAAAGGCGUGCGAUACAGGGUGACAGCCCCGUACACAAAAAUGCACAUAUUGUGAGCUCGAUGAGUAGGGCGGGACACGUGGUAUCCUGUCUGAAUAUGGGGGGACCAUCCUCCAAGGCUAAAUACUCCUGACUGACCGAUAGUGAACCAGUACCGUGAGG
Molecule: ribosomal RNA, 223 nt
Filed under: Escherichia coli
Lineage: Bacteria; Pseudomonadati; Pseudomonadota; Gammaproteobacteria; Enterobacterales; Enterobacteriaceae
Description: partial 23S ribosomal RNA
Rfam family: Bacterial large subunit ribosomal RNA
Source: RNAcentral